RNAcentral lists this ribosomal RNA (465 nucleotides) under uncultured bacterium. RNAcentral's name for it is "partial 16S ribosomal RNA". It matches the Rfam family "Bacterial small subunit ribosomal RNA", at positions 28 to 507 of the family's 1533-position model. The record is from RNAcentral.
GACGAACGCUGGCGGCGUGCUUAACACAUGCAAGUCGUACGGUAAGGCCCUUUCGGGGGUACACGAGUGGCGAACGGGUGAGUAACACGUGAGUAACCUGCCCACAACUUUGGGAUAACGCUAGGAAACUGGUGCUAAUACUGGAUAUGUGCUCCUGCUGCAUGGUGGGGGUUGGAAAGCUCCGGCGGUUGUGGAUGGACUCGCGGCCUAUCAGCUUGUUGGUGGGGUAGUGGCCUACCAAGGCGGCGACGGGUAGCCGGCCUGAGAGGGUGACCGGCCACAUUGGGACUGAGAUACGGCCCAGACUCCUACGGGAGGCAGCAGUGGGGAAUAUUGCACAAUGGGCGCAAGCCUGAUGCAGCAACGCCGCGUGCGGGAUGACGGCCUUCGGGUUGGAAACCGAUUUCAGCAGGGACGAAGCUUUUUGUGACGGUACCUGCAGAAGAAGCACCGGCUAACUACGUG